GCUCUCGUAGCUCAGUUGGUAGAGCGCGGCACUAGUACCUGAUAGCAAUAUCACUGCAUAUGCCGAGGUCUACGGUUCAAAUCCGUACGGGAGCA
This 95-nucleotide transfer RNA is filed under the name Pseudogymnoascus sp. VKM F-4281 (FW-2241). It matches the Rfam family "tRNA". From Rfam's summary of the family: Transfer RNA (tRNA) molecules are approximately 80 nucleotides in length. Their secondary structure includes four short double-helical elements and three loops (D, anti-codon, and T loops). Further hydrogen bonds mediate the characteristic L-shaped molecular structure. tRNAs have two regions of fundamental functional importance: the anti-codon, which is responsible for specific mRNA codon recognition, and the 3' end, to which the tRNAs corresponding amino acid is attached (by aminoacyl-tRNA synthetases). tRNAs cope with the degeneracy of the genetic code in two manners: having more than one tRNA (with a specific anti-codon) for a particular amino acid; and 'wobble' base-pairing, i.e. permitting non-standard base-pairing at the 3rd anti-codon position. Lineage: Eukaryota; Fungi; Ascomycota; Leotiomycetes; Thelebolales; Thelebolaceae. The record is from Rfam by way of RNAcentral.